This 2928-nucleotide ribosomal RNA is filed under the name Klebsiella michiganensis. Its description in RNAcentral is "23S ribosomal RNA". It matches the Rfam family "Bacterial large subunit ribosomal RNA". Lineage: Bacteria; Pseudomonadati; Pseudomonadota; Gammaproteobacteria; Enterobacterales; Enterobacteriaceae. The record is from RNAcentral.
GGGUUGUGAGGUUAAGCGACUAAGCGUACACGGUGGAUGCCCUGGCAGUCAGAGGCGAUGAAGGACGUGCUAAUCUGCGAAAAGCGUCGGUAAGGUGAUAUGAACCGUUAUAGCCGGCGAUGUCCGAAUGGGGAAACCCAGUGCAAUUCGUUGCACUAUCGUUAACUGAAUACAUAGGUUAACGAGGCGAACCGGGGGAACUGAAACAUCUAAGUACCCCGAGGAAAAGAAAUCAACCGAGAUUCCCCCAGUAGCGGCGAGCGAACGGGGAGCAGCCCGGAGUCUGAAUCAGCUUGUGUGUUAGUGGAAGCGUCUGGAAAGUCGCAGGGUACAGGGUGAUACUCCCGUACACUAAAACACACAGGUUGUGAACUCGAAGAGUAGGGCGGGACACGUGGUAUCCUGUCUGAAUAUGGGGGGACCAUCCUCCAAGGCUAAAUACUCCUGACUGACCGAUAGUGAACCAGUACCGUGAGGGAAAGGCGAAAAGAACCCCGGCGAGGGGAGUGAAAAAGAACCUGAAACCGUGUACGUACAAGCAGUAGGAGCCCACUAGUUGGGUGACUGCGUACCUUUUGUAUAAUGGGUCAGCGACUUAUAUUCUGUAGCAAGGUUAACCGUAUAGGGGAGCCGCAGGGAAACCGAGUCUUAACUGGGCGUUAAGUUGCAGGGUAUAGACCCGAAACCCGGUGAUCUAGCCAUGGGCAGGUUGAAGGUUGGGUAACACUAACUGGAGGACCGAACCGACUAAUGUUGAAAAAUUAGCGGAUGACUUGUGGCUGGGGGUGAAAGGCCAAUCAAACCGGGAGAUAGCUGGUUCUCCCCGAAAGCUAUUUAGGUAGCGCCUCGUGAACUCAUCUUCGGGGGUAGAGCACUGUUUCGGCUAGGGGGUCAUCCCGACUUACCAACCCGAUGCAAACUACGAAUACCGAAGAAUGUUAUCACGGGAGACACACGGCGGGUGCUAACGUCCGUCGUGAAGAGGGAAACAACCCAGACCGCCAGCUAAGGUCCCAAAGUCAUGGUUAAGUGGGAAACGAUGUGGGAAGGCCCAGACAGCCAGGAUGUUGGCUUAGAAGCAGCCAUCAUUUAAAGAAAGCGUAAUAGCUCACUGGUCGAGUCGGCCUGCGCGGAAGAUGUAACGGGGCUAAACCAUGCACCGAAGCUGCGGCAGCGACGCUUAUGCGUUGUUGGGUAGGGGAGCGUUCUGUAAGCCGUUGAAGGUGGCCUGUGAGGGUUGCUGGAGGUAUCAGAAGUGCGAAUGCUGACAUAAGUAACGAUAAUGCGGGUGAAAAACCCGCACGCCGGAAGACCAAGGGUUCCUGUCCAACGUUAAUCGGGGCAGGGUGAGUCGACCCCUAAGGCGAGGCCGAAAGGCGUAGUCGAUGGGAAACAGGUUAAUAUUCCUGUACUCGGUGUUACUGCGAAGGGGGGACGGAGAAGGCUAUGUUGGCCGGGCGACGGUUGUCCCGGUUUAAGCAUGUAGGCGGAUGUUCCAGGUAAAUCCGGAACGUUACUAACGCUGAGGUGUGAUGACGAGGCACUACGGUGCUGAAGUGACAAAUGCCCUGCUUCCAGGAAAAGCCUCUAAGCAUCAGGUAACAUCAAAUCGUACCCCAAACCGACACAGGUGGUCAGGUAGAGAAUACCAAGGCGCUUGAGAGAACUCGGGUGAAGGAACUAGGCAAAAUGGUGCCGUAACUUCGGGAGAAGGCACGCUGAUGGUAGGUGAAGUGACUUGCUCAUGGAGCUGAAAUCAGUCGAAGAUACCAGCUGGCUGCAACUGUUUAUUAAAAACACAGCACUGUGCAAACACGAAAGUGGACGUAUACGGUGUGACGCCUGCCCGGUGCCGGAAGGUUAAUUGAUGGGGUUAUCCGUAAGGAGAAGCUCUUGAUCGAAGCCCCGGUAAACGGCGGCCGUAACUAUAACGGUCCUAAGGUAGCGAAAUUCCUUGUCGGGUAAGUUCCGACCUGCACGAAUGGCGUAAUGAUGGCCAGGCUGUCUCCACCCGAGACUCAGUGAAAUUGAACUCGCUGUGAAGAUGCAGUGUACCCGCGGCAAGACGGAAAGACCCCGUGAACCUUUACUAUAGCUUGACACUGAACACUGGUCCUUGAUGUGUAGGAUAGGUGGGAGGCUUUGAAGUGUGGACGCCAGUCUGCAUGGAGCCAUCCUUGAAAUACCACCCUUUAAUGGCUGGUGUUCUAACGUGGGCCCGUAAUCCGGGUUGCGGACAGUGUCUGGUGGGUAGUUUGACUGGGGCGGUCUCCUCCUAAAGAGUAACGGAGGAGCACGAAGGUCAGCUAAUCCUGGUCGGACAUCAGGAGGUUAGUGCAAUGGCAUAAGCUGGCUUGACUGCGAGCGUGACGGCGCGAGCAGGUGCGAAAGCAGGUCAUAGUGAUCCGGUGGUUCUGAAUGGAAGGGCCAUCGCUCAACGGAUAAAAGGUACUCCGGGGAUAACAGGCUGAUACCGCCCAAGAGUUCAUAUCGACGGCGGUGUUUGGCACCUCGAUGUCGGCUCAUCACAUCCUGGGGCUGAAGUAGGUCCCAAGGGUAUGGCUGUUCGCCAUUUAAAGUGGUACGCGAGCUGGGUUUAGAACGUCGUGAGACAGUUCGGUCCCUAUCUGCCGUGGGCGCUGGAGAAUUGAGGGGGGCUGCUCCUAGUACGAGAGGACCGGAGUGGACGCAUCACUGGUGUUCGGGUUGUCAUGCCAAUGGCAUUGCCCGGUAGCUAAAUGCGGAAGAGAUAAGUGCUGAAAGCAUCUAAGCACGAAACUUGCCCCGAGAUGAGUUCUCCCUGACUCCUUGAGAGUCCUGAAGGAACGUUGAAGACGACGACGUUGAUAGGCCGGGUGUGUAAGCGCAGCGAUGCGUUGAGCUAACCGGUACUAAUGAACCGUGAGGCUUAACCUUACAACGCCGAAG